Molecule: ribosomal RNA, 239 nt
Filed under: Bacillus australimaris
Lineage: Bacteria; Bacillati; Bacillota; Bacilli; Caryophanales; Bacillaceae
Description: partial 16S ribosomal RNA
Rfam family: Bacterial small subunit ribosomal RNA
Source: RNAcentral
AUGCCCCUUAUGACCUGGGCUACACACGUGCUACAAUGGACAGAACAAAGGGCUGCAAGACCGCAAGGUUUAGCCAAUCCCAUAAAUCUGUUCUCAGUUCGGAUCGCAGUCUGCAACUCGACUGCGUGAAGCUGGAAUCGCUAGUAAUCGCGGAUCAGCAUGCCGCGGUGAAUACGUUCCCGGGCCUUGUACACACCGCCCGUCACACCACGAGAGUUUGCAACACCCGAAGUCGGUGA